GAUGACCACUUCGGUGGGGAUUAGUGGCGAACGGGUGAGUAACACGUGGGCAAUCUGCCCUGCACUCUGGGACAAGCCCUGGAAACGGGGUCUAAUACCGGAUACUGACCCUCACGGGCAUCUGUGAGGUUCGAAAGCUCCGGCGGUGCAGGAUGAGCCCGCGGCCUAUCAGCUUGUUGGUGAGGUAAUGGCUCACCAAGGCGACGACGGGUAGCCGGCCUGAGAGGGCGACCGGCCACACUGGGACUGAGACACGGCCCAGACUCCUACGGGAGGCAGCAGUGGGGAAUAUUGCACAAUGGGCGAAAGCCUGAUGCAGCGACGCCGCGUGAGGGAUGACGGCCUUCGGGUUGUAAACCUCUUUCAGCAGGGAAGAAGCGAAAGUGACGGUACCUGCAGAAGAAGCGCCGGCUAACUACGUGCCAGCAGCCGCGGUAAUACGUAGGGCGCGAGCGUUGUCCGGAAUUAUUGGGCGUAAAGAGCUCGUAGGCGGCUUGUCACGUCGGUUGUGAAAGCCCGGGGCUUAACCCCGGGUCUGCAGUCGAUACGGGCAGGCUAGAGUUCGGUAGGGGAGAUCGGAAUUCCUGGUGUAGCGGU
Molecule: ribosomal RNA, 597 nt
Filed under: Streptomyces sp.
Lineage: Bacteria; Bacillati; Actinomycetota; Actinomycetes; Kitasatosporales; Streptomycetaceae
Description: bacterial SSU rRNA
Rfam family: Bacterial small subunit ribosomal RNA
Source: RNAcentral